UUAUAGACUAAUCUUAAAAUUGGAUACUACUAACAAUAGUUUAAAACCCAAAGAAAUUGGCGGUGUCUUAUCACAUUAGGGGAACCUGUUUCAUAACUCGAUAAUCCACGAAAAUCUUACCUAAUUUUGAAUAACAGCCUGUGUACUGCCGUCGUCAGCUUACCUUUUUAAAGUGUUAGCAUAUAAUUAAUUAAUAUAUUACGUCAGGUCAAAGUGCAGCCUAUAAUUAGGAGAUAAUGGGUUACAAUCUUUAUUAAAGACACGGAAAGAAAACAAACAAAAAUUAUUCUUGAAGGUGGACUUAAAUGUAAUUUUAUAAAGAAAUGAAUAUGAAUCUAAGACAUGCACACAUCGCCCGUCACUCCUGCUGAAAAGCU
This 377-nucleotide ribosomal RNA is filed under the name Eclipidrilus frigidus. RNAcentral's name for it is "partial 12S ribosomal RNA". It matches the Rfam family "Bacterial small subunit ribosomal RNA", at positions 874 to 1415 of the family's 1533-position model. The record is from RNAcentral. Lineage: Eukaryota; Metazoa; Annelida; Clitellata; Lumbriculida; Lumbriculidae.